AUAGGAAAUAAAAAGGCAUCUUUUUGUUUUUAAAAGACCUUCUUCGGAGGGUAUGCUUAAAGAGGGGCUUGCGCCACAUUAGUUAGUUGGUGAGGUAAAGGCUUACCAAGAUUAUGAUGUGUAGCUGGACUGAGAGGUUGAACAGCCACAUUGGGACUGAGACACGGCCCAAACUCCUACGGGAGGCAGCAGUAGGGAAUUUUCGGCAAUGGAGGAAACUCUGACCGAGCGACGCCGCGUGAACGAUGAAGUAUUUCGGUAUGUAAAGUUCUUUUAUUGAAGAAGAAAAAAUAGUGGAAAAACUAUCUUGACGUUAUUCAAUGAAUAAGCCCCGGCUAACUAUGUGCCAGCAGCCGCGGUAAGACAUAGGGGGCGAGCGUUAUCCGGAAUUAUUGGGCGUAAAGGGUGCGUAGGCGGUUAGAUAAGUCUAUAAUUUAAUUUCAGUGCUUAACGCUGUCUUGUUAUAGAAACUGUCUUGACUAGAGUGAGAUAGAGGCAAGCGGAAUUCCAUGUGUAGCGGUAAAAUGUGUAAAUAUAUGGAGGAACACCAGAAGCGUAGGCGGCUUGCUGGGUCUUUACUGACGCUGAGGCACGAAAGCGUGGGGAGCAAACAGGAUUAGAUACCCUGGUAGUCCACGCUGUAAACGAUGAGUACUAAGUGUCGGGGCAACUCGGUACUGAAGUUAACACAUUAAGUACUCCGCCUGAGUAGUACGUACGCAAGUAUGAAACUUAAAGGAAUUGACGGGACUCCGCACAAGCGGUGGAUCAUGUUGUUUAAUUCGAAGAUACACGAAAAACCUUACCAGGUCUUGACAUACUCUGCGAAGCUAUAGAAAUAUAGUGGAGGUUAUCAGGGAUACAGGUGGUGCAUGGUUGUCGUCAGUUCGUGUCGUGAGAUGUUAGGUUAAGUCCUAAAACGAACGCAACCCCUGUCGUUAGUUACCAGCACGUAAUGGUGGGGACUUUAGCGAGACUGCCAAUUAAACAUUGGAGGAAGGUGGGGAUAACGUCAAAUCAUCAUGCCCCUUAUGAUCUGGGCUACAAACGUGAUACAAUGGCUGUUACAAAGAGUAGCUGAAACGCGAGUUUUUAGCCAAUCUCAAAAAGACAGUCUUAGUCCGGAUUGAAGUCUGCAACUCGACUUCAUGAAGCUGGAAUCGCUAGUAAUCGCGAAUCAGCAUGUCGCGGUGAAUACGUUCU
RNAcentral lists this ribosomal RNA (1203 nucleotides) under 'Zanthoxylum armatum' yellows phytoplasma. RNAcentral's name for it is "bacterial SSU rRNA". It matches the Rfam family "Bacterial small subunit ribosomal RNA", at positions 173 to 1374 of the family's 1533-position model. The record is from RNAcentral. Lineage: Bacteria; Bacillati; Mycoplasmatota; Mollicutes; Acholeplasmatales; Acholeplasmataceae.